UACAGAGGUCUCAAGCGUUGUUCGGAUUCAUUGGGCGUAAAGGGUGCGUAGGUGGCGCCGUAAGUCGGGUGUGAAAUUUCGGAGCUUAACUCCGAAACUGCAUUCGAUACUGCGGUGCUUGAGGACUGGAGAGGAGACUGGAAUUCAUGGUGUAGCAGUGAAAUGCGUAGAUAUCAUGAGGAAUACCAGAGGCGAAGGCGGCUACCUGGACAAUUGCUGACGCUCAGGCACGAAAGCGUGGGGAGCGAACAGG
This 253-nucleotide ribosomal RNA is filed under the name uncultured bacterium. RNAcentral's name for it is "partial 16S ribosomal RNA". It matches the Rfam family "Bacterial small subunit ribosomal RNA", at positions 524 to 776 of the family's 1533-position model. The record is from RNAcentral.